This 1316-nucleotide unclassified non-coding RNA is filed under the name Hevea brasiliensis (rubber tree). Lineage: Eukaryota; Viridiplantae; Streptophyta; Magnoliopsida; Malpighiales; Euphorbiaceae. The record is from RNAcentral.
GAGGCCACAACCACUUGCAUAAUCUCCUUCUACUGGAAAUAGCUGGGAUCUAUCCCAACAACACUGCAUUUUGCUAAACAAGAAAAACAAGAAUCUGUGACGAUGAGCAGCCAGAGAAAUGAUCAGGGUGCAGCGGCAACUAGAACUGGAGAACUUACAAAAUUCCAAUCAAACGCAGUGGAUGUCCUAUCGAGCAUAAACUCUCUGUUCACAGUUGCUGUAUUCUUGGGCUUAUCCUUCGCAUCUCCCAACCAAAAAAGCAUUGAUCCCCGAUCCGAAUGUAACCCAGACGCCACCAUGCUCAAGAGACUCGUCUUAUGGGAGGUUAUAUCAUUUUCUUUCUUCCUCUUCUCCAGCCUAUUCUUGAAAUCACUCCAACUAUAUAUCAACAUGUUAGGAGAUAAAAAAUGGGUCGUCAGGGGCAUGUUCUACAUAUCGGUAUUGACGACGACACUUGGCGUUGCAAGUUUUACGGUUUCCAUGGCUUACCUUAUUCAGAUACAGGUUGGGAAGAUGUCUUGUUGGAUUUUUGAAACAACUCUCUCUGUGAUCUUUCUAGCUGUGAUGGUGUUUCUGGGUAUCGUAAGUUAUUUAGUCGUCACUGCUCUAACUUUCUCGCUCACAACAGACGAUUUUGACCAACAUCUUUCUAGUACUACUGUUUUUACCACUGCUGCAAGUUUUUAAUUCUUGAAUAUUUUAUUUAAAAAAAUGAAAAAUUUGGAGUUAUAACAUAAUUUUACUUUGAAGUUAAUGUUAUUUUGUACAAUUUUAAUUGCUAUUUGUUAUGCUCCUUAUUUUUUGUUUACUUAAAAAAAUAAAAAUCUAAUUUCACAAAGAAUCAAUUACUCAUAACUCAUUUUAUUGCUCAACAUGCAAAUCAUGUUUCAAUUGUAAUAUCUAACCAGGGUUAAUUCAAUUAGUAAUAUUUAAUUAACACUUUCGUUAGGUUGAAAGUUUGGAUCUUAUUAAUUUUCUUUCUAACUCAAUUGUAAUAUCUCCAUGAGUUUAGUAGUAUGCAUUAUAUAAUUAGAACAAAGGAACGAGCUACACAAGUUUGGAAGCAAUUCGGUGAUGGGGUUUUGUUCUUGGCACUUCAGGACCCCUUUUCAGAGUACAAAGUAAUUUAUUAUAACAAGCGAAGGUUGGCUUCCCUCAUACACAAUUUUGUUUCAAUUAUUUUAUAUUUGAUCUCCCUAAGAUAUUUUGGAAUCAUUGUUAUAAUGGUGAGGAUGUUCUGUUGUACUGGAUUGAACAAAUCCUUAUAGUGGUCUCUCACUUCUUUUAUAGUCAAUAUGCCACUGCCUUUUUUUGAC